CCUGCCUCAUACAGGGGGAUAACAGUUACAAAUGACUGCUAAUACCGCAUAAGACCACGGAGUCGCAUGACUCAGUGGGAAAAACUCCGGUGGUAUGAGAUGGACCCGCGUCUGAUUAGGUAGUUGGUGGGGUAACGGCCUACCAAGCCGACGAUCAGUAGCCGACCUGAGAGGGUGACCGGCCACAUUGGGACUGAGACACGGCCCAAACUCCUACGGGAGGCAGCAGUGGGGAAUAUUGCACAAUGGGGGAAACCCUGAUGCAGCGACGCCGCGUGAGCGAAGAAGUAUUUCGGUAUGUAAAGCUCUAUCAGCAGGGAAGAAAAUGACGGUACCUGACUAAGAAGCACCGGCUAAAUACGUGCCAGCAGCCGCGGUAAUACGUAUGGUGCAAGCGUUAUCCGGAUUUACUGGGUGUAAAGGGAGCGUAGACGGCUGUGUAAGUCUGAAGUGAAAGCCCGGGGCUCAACCCCGGGACUGCUUUGGAAACUAUGCAGCUAGAGUGUCGGAGAGGUAAGUGGAAUUCCCAGUGUAGCGGUGAAAUGCGUAGAUAUUGGGAGGAACACCAGUGGCGAAGGCGGCUUACUG
RNAcentral lists this ribosomal RNA (588 nucleotides) under uncultured bacterium. RNAcentral describes it as "bacterial SSU rRNA". It matches the Rfam family "Bacterial small subunit ribosomal RNA", at positions 125 to 731 of the family's 1533-position model. The record is from RNAcentral.